GAAUGCUGACAUAAGUAACGAUAAAGCGGGUGAAAAGCCCGCUCGCCGGAAGACCAAGGGUUCCUGUCCAACGUUAAUCGGGGCAGGGUGAGUCGACCCCUAAGGCGAGGCCGAAAGGCGUAGUCGAUGGGAAACGGGUUAAUAUUCCCGUACUUGGUGUUACUGCGAAGGGGGGACGGAGAAGGCUAUGUUGGCCGGGCGACGGUUGUCCCGGUUUAAGCGUGUAGGUGUGUGUUCCAGGUAAAUCCGGUUCACUUUAACACUG
Molecule: ribosomal RNA, 265 nt
Filed under: Salmonella enterica subsp. enterica serovar Infantis
Lineage: Bacteria; Pseudomonadati; Pseudomonadota; Gammaproteobacteria; Enterobacterales; Enterobacteriaceae
Also listed under: 2 other names
Description: partial 23S ribosomal RNA
Rfam family: Bacterial large subunit ribosomal RNA
Source: RNAcentral